Molecule: long non-coding RNA, 902 nt
Organism: Topomyia yanbarensis
Lineage: Eukaryota; Metazoa; Arthropoda; Insecta; Diptera; Culicidae
Exons: 2
Source: RefSeq, a predicted model, not a curated record
ACAUCAGAGAAUUCUUCUGAUUCUCCUCGUUCUCGACGAAAGAAAAAUAAAACAAAAUAUUAUCAAAUCGUGUCGAUAGUACUUUUACUCAUCGCGCUUUUUUGAUAAGUUGGACUAAGAAGUCCAGACUCGCUAAUCCAGGUUGGCUCGACCAUCAACGGGAAGUAACAUCAUUCGUCAGUUGACGAUGGCGGCAGGAGAUAGUACGCCGCCGUUGCCGUUUAGUAACCGACCAAGUAACUGCUCUGGUACCGUAACCAUGGCCAUUUCCCUCGCACGCAUCGUAUCAUGUCAUCGACCGGCGUAUCCAUCACUGCCCGUGGGACACCAAUGCCCAAAAUGAUAAACCCAGCCGCCUUCAUCCGAGACCAGCCAUUUUACAAAAAAUAGCAUCUGCUCUCUCGAAGUAGCCACCGCCUGUGUGCAUCUGGACGGUACAGUGGUAUAUUUAAGCACCAAGGAUUAUUACGGUUAACUCGACAUAAAAUUAAAAAAAUCGAUGAAUGCUGUCAUUGCCAUCAUAUUGAUGUGACAUUGAAUUCUAUUUUGGCCGCCACCGCAGUUAAAAACUAGAUGACGGAUUGCGCAGACAAUGAAACGAAAAAUAACCAUCACCUGCAUUAGCCACAGAACCAGAAAACGCGGACGCGGUUAUAUUUGCAUGAUUAGGGCAACGUAAAUGGCAAGCACUAGAAUACUCCACAGGGACAAAAUCAACAGCAACCAGACUGCAACCCAGCUUUGAACAGGAAUCAAUCGCAAAAUCAUCGGAUGUAGUUGGGGUUUCUACAUUUUUUAUCAGUAAAUAAAGGAAUGUGUUGCUUUAAAACAAUUUAUACAAGAAUUAAGCAUAUAGAUAGACUGAUAGUUACUGUUGUAAUAAAUAGCUUUCACCUAAUGAA